RNAcentral lists this long non-coding RNA (2052 nucleotides) under Marmota monax (woodchuck). Lineage: Eukaryota; Metazoa; Chordata; Mammalia; Rodentia; Sciuridae. The record is from RNAcentral.
UAUUUACAUAGCAUGUACCUUGUAUUAGGUAUUACACGUAAUCCUAGAUGAUUUAAGCCAUUAGGAGGGAGGAUGUAGGUUCUUUGCAAACAUGAUACCCUUCUAUAAAAGGCACUUGAGCAUCUGUGGAUUUGGGAGUCUGCAGGGGGUCCUGAGACUGAUUCCCAGUUCAUACCGAGGAAGCACAAUGUUUUUAAAAUCUGGUACUUUCAAAAUGUAAGGCUGAGUAAAUUCUUCCUGCGGAGAUGCAGCAAGACUCUUACUAACCUGGAUGGCGUCUUCCACGCAGCCCUAAGGAAAGGAAGGGCUGCACUGUAGCUACAUUUGUUGCUUUGAUGGCAAGAAGCUGCAAAAUGUUGAGCAGGUAUUUAGACCUAGGCUCUCAGUGCAUGCCACAUGUGACAUGCCAUCACCCCAGAGCACCUGGUCAUGCGUGACCCAGCUACUGAGUAACACAUCUUGAAGUGCUGGUUUCUUAUUGCCUGCUAAGCUGCUGUCUGUUGAGGUCCAGGGUGGCUGGCACCUCCUGUGGAGACAUUCUGGACACGCCCAGCGAGGGCAACCAUGUCAGUACUGUCUGUCUCCGAGGAGAGAGGCCGCUAAAGAUGGAGACGCCAUAGUUCCAGGUAGGGAAGCUCAGGCUCCUGACUAUCUGGGUGGGAGUAUUCUCUUGGGUCUCAGCAUCAGACUCUUCCACAUCAACCACAAUUCUGCCGCUGAUGGCUUCUUGAGUUUGAACCAAUAUAGGUUUCAAUGAAGUACACAUUUUUGCAAGGGGAAAAAAAGGCCAUUGUUCUCAUUCACGAUUUCACAUGGCUGAGACAUUGACUGCUGGAUGAAUUUGUGAAUACACACAUCAUCCUGAAUCAACAUGUCUAGUGAAAUGUUUUCAUUCAACCAGUGUGGUCCUGGAGGUGAACCACUUUUAUAAAUCUGCAAUUGAAAUAAAAAUUUUAUUUUGGAACUAAUGACUGGUAGCUGAUAUCUUUCUUGUUGUUAGACUAAUCAAUGCUUUUCAAAUACAUUAAAGAUGAGGUUCACUUAAAUCUUAAUCUAUUAAAUCCAGUUAUAGAAUAUAACCAGAUUGUUCUUAUGGCUAGGAAAUAAUUGCUUUGAUAAAGGAUUCCUGGCUAUAGGAAAGGAUUAACGGAGCAUUCAUAGCAAAGUUUCCUAAAGAAUUCAAAUAUUUGCUUACAGUUUCUUUACACCUUGACAUUAAUUUGAAAAACAAAAGCUUCGGAAAUCACUUUGAAAUUAAUCAACAAUAAAGCAUAAAGACAAACCUUCCUUGGGAUAAAAAAAGAAAGUCAUCAGGACAUUAUAAGUCACUCUACAGAAAUAUAGGGGAUGUUUUUUUUUUAUCCCCCAACAAUUUACGUGCAUGUACUAAGUGCCUGCAAAAGGACUAAAUGCAGACGACACCCCCUGGUGGAACAUUUGUUUCUAGGUGGUUGGUAGCUUUUUAGCUCUGUAAGUAUGGUUAAAGUGCUUGCUUAAAUUUCUUUGCCUGCUUAGUUGAUCAUCAAACUAUUUUCACAUCAGCUUAUGCCUGGAAGUUGCUUUUUUUUUUAAAGAAACAAAUACAUAAUUAUACUAAAUAUGCUUAAUUAUGCAUCAGAUUACUCAGGCAAAGUAAGUUUUAUGAUAUGUGUUCUACUUUCUCACGAUUCCUUUUGAGAGUUCUCAAAGGAUUACAAAUUGUGCAAAACUUUUGAUAGCAAUAUUUUCACAUGAAAAUAAAACUGGUAGUUGUUGGGGUCGGCUGUCUCACUUCCUGGCAAAUGAUAUAGAUCGUCCUGCUUCAACAUCCAUCCUUUCUACAUAAAGAUUUAUCCAACCAAGGAAUGCAACAUUACACUCAGGAAUCAACUUGGAGUUGAAUGGACAAUGAAUUACAAUAUGGGAAGUCUUCCAAGAGGCAGGUUCAGAAAAGCCAUCAGGAGUGAUGGCUCAGGAAGCUGAGGCAGGAGCAUUGCAAGUUCAAAGCCAGCCUCAGAAAUUUAGCAAGGCCCUAAACAGCUUAGCAGGAUCCUGUCUCUGAAUAAAAAAAAA